UGCCCUAGUAACGGCGAGUGAAGCGGCAACAGCUCAAAUUUGAAAUCUGGCUUCCUUGGAAGUCCGAGUUGUAAUUUGCAGAGGGCGCUUUGGCGUCGGUAGCGGUCUAAGUUCCUUGGAACAGGACGUCACAGAGGGUGAGAAUCCCGUACGUGGUCGACUGCCUUCGCCGUGUAAAGCCCCUUCGACGAGUCGAGUUGUUUGGGAAUGCAGCUCUAAAUGGGAGGUAAAUUUCUUCUAAAGCUAAAUACUGGCCAGAGACCGAUAGCGCACAAGUAGAGUGAUCGAAAGAUGAAAAGCACUUUGGAAAGAGAGUCAAACAGCACGUGAAAUUGUUGAAAGGGAAGCGCUUGCCGCCAGACGUGCCCGUGGUGGUUCUCCUCCGCGGGCAGGCCAGCAUCAGUUUGGGCGAUCGGAUAAAGGCCUCUGUCAUGUAUCUCCCUUCGGGGUGACCUUAUAGGGGAGGCGUAAUGCGAUCAGCCUGGACUGAGGUCCGCGCAUCUGCUAGGAUGCUGGCGUAAUGGCUGUAAGCGGCCCGUCUUGAAACACGGACCAAGGAGUCUAACAUCUAUGCGAGUGUUUGGGUGUCAAGCCCGAGCGCGUAAUGAAAGUGAACGGAGGUGGGAACCCUUUGGGUGCACCAUCGACCGAUCCUGAAGUCUUCGGAUGGAUUUGAGUAAGAGCAUGGCUGUUGGGACCCGAAAGAUGGUGAACUAUGCUUGAAUAGGGUGAAGCCAGAGGAAACUCUGGUGGAGGCUCGCAGCGGUUCUGACGUGCAAAUCGAUCGUCAAAUUUGGGCAUAGGGGCGAAAGACUAAUCGAACUAUCUAGUAGCUGGUUCUG
RNAcentral lists this ribosomal RNA (842 nucleotides) under Dictyosporium tubulatum. RNAcentral's name for it is "partial large subunit ribosomal RNA". It matches the Rfam family "Eukaryotic large subunit ribosomal RNA", at positions 76 to 959 of the family's 3401-position model. Lineage: Eukaryota; Fungi; Ascomycota; Dothideomycetes; Pleosporales; Dictyosporiaceae. The record is from RNAcentral.